This 582-nucleotide ribosomal RNA is filed under the name uncultured Rhizophagus. RNAcentral describes it as "LSU rRNA". It matches the Rfam family "Eukaryotic large subunit ribosomal RNA", at positions 204 to 637 of the family's 3401-position model. Lineage: Eukaryota; Fungi; Glomeromycota; Glomeromycetes; Glomerales; Glomeraceae. The record is from RNAcentral.
CAUGGAGGGUGAGAAUCCCGUUCGGUUGAUCAGGUCACUUUACGAUACGUCAUCAAAGAGUCAAGUUGUUUGGGAUUGCAGCUUAAAAUGGGAGGUAAAUUUCUCCUAAGGCUAAAUAACGGCGAGAGACCGAUAGCGAACAAGUACCGUGAGGGAAAGAUGAAAAGAACUUUGAAAAGAGAGUUAAACAGUACGUGAAAUUGUUGAAAGGGAAACGAUUAAAGCCAGUCGUACCGGCGGGUAAUCAGCCUUUUGGGUGUGAUUAUGUGGAACGUGAGGAGUUUAAUCGCCUUCAUGCCUGCAUAUUCGUGCACUUUGGGUGUACUUGCUCGUGUGGUAGGUUAACAUCAAUUUCGAUCAUCAUAAAAUGAUUGGGGGAAUGUAGCUUCGAUCUCGUGUUGAAGUGUUUUAUAGACUCUGGUAGAUGUGAUGAUCGGGAUUGAGGAUUGCAACGGAUACCCUUCGGGGCUACCCGUCUGAUCUCUGAGAGUUACUCUGGUGCUGAAAGCGUGCUUACGGUAUCAAAGUUGACGUUCAAUAGGUUAGAACGGGAUAAAUUCGUUAAGGAUGUUGACGUAAUGG